Molecule: long non-coding RNA, 502 nt
Filed under: Nicotiana benthamiana
Lineage: Eukaryota; Viridiplantae; Streptophyta; Magnoliopsida; Solanales; Solanaceae
Description: long non-coding RNA (NBEN_LNC023212)
Source: RNAcentral
UUAGAGCACACCAAACAUAAAAGUUCAGAGACUAAUGAUUAAACGGAGAACAACAAAAUAAAUAUCACAAAUGUAACAAAUAGCAAUAGCAACAACAACAACUACCCAGUAUAGUCCCACAAAAUGCGGUCUGGGACGGGUAAUAUGUAGACAGGCCUUACCCCUACCCGAAAGGGCAGAGAGGCUGUUUCCAAUCGACCAAUUCUAAACAACUACCCAAUAUAGUCCCACAAAGUGGAGUCUGGGGAGGGUAAUUUGUAGACAGGCCUUACCCCUGCCCAAUAGGGCCGAAGGCUGUUUCCAAUCGACCCUCGGCUUAGGGAAGGAAAGGAGAAACAAAAACAAAAAUAAAAGAUCAUUAGUAACUCCAGCAGAAAUCACAUAAAUAAUUGUCUAAACAUAAGAACCAUAAAUAAAAUGACAUGCAAUAAUAUCAAACAGUAACUACCAUAAGGGCACACAAUCCAAUACACAAAUCAUCUAUGGAGAGCCCUACCAAACC